This 253-nucleotide ribosomal RNA is filed under the name uncultured bacterium. RNAcentral describes it as "partial 16S ribosomal RNA". It matches the Rfam family "Bacterial small subunit ribosomal RNA", at positions 524 to 776 of the family's 1533-position model. The record is from RNAcentral.
UACGAGAGGCCCAAACGUUAUUCGGAUUUACUGGGCUUAAAGAGUUCGUAGGCGGCUUGGAAAGUGGGGUGUGAAAGCCCUCGGCUUAACCGAGGAAUUGCGCUCCAAACUACCGAGCUUGAGGAGGCUAGAGGUGAGCAGAACUGAUGGUGGAGCGGUGAAAUGCGUUGAUAUCAUCAGGAAUACCGGAGGCGAAGGCGGCUCACUGGGACCUUUCUGACGCUGAGGAGCGAAAGUGUGGGGAGCGAACAGG